Gavialis gangeticus (Gharial) is the source of this 332-nucleotide long non-coding RNA. RefSeq lists it as uncharacterized. The transcript has 3 exons. The record is from RefSeq and is a predicted model, not a curated record. NCBI's taxonomy places the organism in Eukaryota, Metazoa, Chordata, Crocodylia, Gavialidae.
AGAAGCCUAACUAAGUUCUGCUCUGGGGGGACAGUGCCAUAAGGCUGGAGCUUUGGAACAGGGCAUGCUUAAACAACUGGGCUGUCUACUAGGGGUCAUCACUGAUUAUGGGUACCUUGGGCAUAUGAACCAUGAAGAUCCAUUUCCAUCAAAGGACAACUGACAGCUUGAGUUUAGGAAGUAUGCCCAAGAGAUCAAGGGUUGCAUACACACUUUCCUUGAUGGAAGGAUGUUCACCACAACACAGGACAAAAGAAGACUUUUACUGACAUGAAAAAUACCUGACAGAAAAAUUGGGGCUCCAUCAUUCCCUGCACCCCAGUCUCUUGCCA